Molecule: long non-coding RNA, 4586 nt
Filed under: Homo sapiens (human)
Lineage: Eukaryota; Metazoa; Chordata; Mammalia; Primates; Hominidae
Description: HSALNT0022357
Source: RNAcentral
AGGGCAAUAUCUUACUAGUUUCGACCCCUGCUGUGUGAUGAGGUUUUGACAGUCAUAAUUGUACAGCAGGCCAUAGUUUAAUAUAAGUAAUUAUAAACCAGGAAUUAUUAAUCAUUAUCUAAUAAUCUGAUACUAAACUAUUGGAUGUUGCUUGUGAAAUAACAAGAAAAUUCAAAGUGAUUAUAUCAAGUGAUUCUAUGAUACUUCUAGACAGCAAAAUAAAAAUAAAAGAAGAGGUUCAAGCCUUGUUAAGGUUUUAGCAUCACAAUCAGACAGCACCUAUAAAAUAAGUCAACUAUGCCAUGGUCCCAGUAGCCAGUAAAGUUCGUUGGGACCAACUUCCUUCCUCUUCAGCUCAUGCCUCUUGGAACACAUGGGGCAGCUGUGUGCACCUCAGAUGGAGCAGCCAAAAAGAGCUCAGAGCUUUGGUCCUGACUUUGCAGCCCAAGUGAGAUCAUGGGUUUUGUACUCCAGGCACUGUGCUAGGCACCAGGACUAUAAUACAACUUGUGAUCUGUAGAGGAGUCAGACAAUUAUCCAGGCAUCCCAAAGAAAUGUCAAUUGCAAGCCUGGAUCCCUUUUUCCCUGGAGGCUGUUCUGAAGAUGGCACCCUACCUGCUCACCUUUUAGUGUACCUGGGCACCCAUGCCUCCAUAUGGUGACCCUCAAAUCAUACUGUAUGAAGAGCAGCUGUUUUGUCAACUAUUUUUUAAUGAGAUUUUUUUUGCUUUGGUUUAAAAAAUAGCAUAUAUUUGCGUUAGAAAAUUAGAAAUACAGAAGAAACAGAAAUAUAAAAGAAUUACCUAUAACAUGCAAAAAUGACUAGUACAAAUGUUUUUGUUUUUUUACAGUAUGUGAACAUAUUGUAUGUUUAUAUUAAUAUCCAUAGUAUUUAUUUUUGCCUACAUGUUUUACUUAACAUAUGUAGUAAGCAUUUCCCAUGUUAGUCAAAUUAUUUGUGGACAUUAUUUUUAAUGACUAUUAAUGUUAUUACUCUACAGCUUGCCGAAUAAGUCUCCUAUUAUAUGUCAUUUUGGGUCCUAGCAACAUUUUUGUGUUUAAAUCCUUGUAGCAGUUUUGACUGAUUUCCUUAAGAUAGAGUCCAAGAAGAGAAAUAAUUUGCUUGUUUGUUUAUCAUUUGGUACUUUCUUUUAUGGUAAUGUCCUUGGGGCUGAUAAUUCAGAACCAUGAAUAGAUAUGAUUCUUGUCUUUGAGGAGAUUGUAGCCUUGUGCUAGGUUAAAGAAUAGGCACGUUUUAAAGUUCUCGAUACACAUUUUCAAAGUGCUUUUCAAAAAUUUGUAUCAAUUCAUCCUUCUACUAUAAGGGAAAAUCUGUUCUGGGUUGUUUUUCUGGUAUAUCUUCCUAUUAAGAACCUGUUCUCCCUCCUGCUUUGUGACUCACAUGGAGUUGCCACUGCAUGCUAUCAUCUCCAUCCCUUAGAGCAACCUAUUAGAGAACUUACUCUCUGGAGUCCCAAAAGAGAAACAACAGCAACAACUCAGCAAUUCAUCUGGGGUCAGCGUGUUACCCAGUCUGGGCCAUUGGAGAUUUUUUUAAAGGGAAGUUUCUCCUAUUUUCUUCAAAAUUCUGAGCUGUGAAGAGGACCACUAGAAAGUUCAAUCUAUUUAUGAUUUUUUAAAAAACUGUUAUUAUAUAUAUUUAAGUGUAUGUCAUGUUUCCACACAUAUAUACAUAGUGAAAUGAUCACUGUAAUCAAGCUAAUUAGAAUAUCCCCCAUCUCGCAUAGUCACCUUUGUGUGUGAAAAGGGUUCAGUGCUUCCCUCUCCACUCUUCAUCUCCCCUUUAAAAAAGCAGAGAUGAAUGGAGAGGGAAAGGUUGAACAAUGGUUAUGUGGUGGGACUGCUGGGAUUCACCUGAGAGUUAAAACCAGCUAGUUCUACCCGUAUGUUUUUCACUUAGAUAAGCCAACAAAUUAAUUUCUUUUCCUCUAUUCUUCUUGUCUUCUUUCCUGCCUCUUUACCUGUCUCCCUUCCUUCCUCUCUUCCCACUCUCUUUCUUUCCUUAUUUAAAUUGGUUUGAAUUGAGUUUCUGACACUAAUGGAGAGUCCUUAUUGUGCCUUCACGUUAUUUUUAUCAAACCAGAAAAUGUUAAUGACAUAAAACAAUUACUGUUUGGACAAGGAAAAUUGUAUUUCUUUCCUUGAAAUUUCUACACACAUACACAUUUGUGCUUGUUAGUGAGGCUAAGCAUUUUCCCCCUUAUUUGUGAAUUAUAUAUUCAAUGUUUUGAUCCAUUUAUCAAAUAAAUUCCUUAGUUUAAAAAAUAUUUGCAGGUGCGGUUAUUAUGGAAAGCAGCAUGAAGUUUCCUCUAAAUAUUAAAAAUAGAAUCACCACAUGACUCAGCAAUCCCUCCUCUCUAUAUAUUUUUAAAGGAAAUGAAAUCAGCACUUCAUGGAACUAUCUCCACUCCCGGCUGGGCGCAGUGGCUCACGCCUGUAAUCCCAGCACUUUGGAAGGCCAAGGCAGGUGGAUCACGAGGUCAAGAGAUGGAGACCAUCCUGGCCGACAUGGUGAAACCCUGCCUCUACUAAAAAUACAAAAAUUAGCUGGGCGGGGAGGCACAUGCCUGUAAUCCCAGCCACUCGGGAGGCUGAGACAGGAGAAUCGCUUCAACCUGGGAGGCGGAGGUUGCAGUGGCUGAGAUCGCACCACUGCAGUCCAACCUGGUGACAGAGGGAGACUCCAUCAAAAAAAAAAAAAAGAAAAAAAGAAAUAUCUCCACUCUUAUAGUCAUUGAAGCAUAAUUAACAAUAACCAAGCUAUGAAAUCAAUGUAAGUGCCCAUCAAUGGAUGAGUGGAUAAAGAAAAUGUUACACACACACACACACACACACACACACACACACAGUGGAAUUUCAUGUAGCCUUAAAAAAGAAGACGAUUUUGUUAUUUAUAACAUGCCUGAAUGUGGAGGACAUUAGGUUAAGUGAAAUAAGCCAGAAAGAAAAAUACUGCAUGAUCUUACUUAUAUGUGGAAUCUAAAAACGUCAAGUACAAAAAAGCAAAAAGUAGAAUAGUGGUUGCUGGGAUCUGGGGCUGAGAUUAUGAUGGGCAAAUGGGAAGAAAUUGAGUGCAGAGUUUUGAUUAGGAUCAAUAAGUCUAGAGAGCAAAUGUACAGCAUGAAGACUAUAGUUACUACUGGGUUGUAUACUGGAAAUUUGCUAAGAAAGUAGGUUGUAGGUCCUCUUACCAUACACACAUAUACAGGUAACUAUGCGAGAUGAUGGAUAUUCUAAUUAGAUUGACUGUAGUAAUCAUUUCACUAUGUAUGUGUAUGAAAACAUGACAUACACCUUAAAUAUAUAUAAUAACAUUAAAAAAACCCAAAAUCUUGAAAAGAUUAUUAAGCUUUCCAAUGCCCAAGAAAAGGAAGAAAAGAAAAAGAAACUGCCACAGCUUAUUUUAAAAAUAAAAGUGGGCUCUCUUUUUAAAAUAUUAAUUUUAUAGUACCUUAUCUGGUAACCAAAAUAUUUUUAAAUAUUCUGAUGCUAUUAUAGUAUAAUCAUUCUUUAAUAAUUUUGUAGAUUUCACUUUACUGAACAAAGCCCUAAACAAAAACAUUGAAUAUGACAAAAACUUGCAUAAGUUUAUUUCAUACUGAAGACAUAUAUGCUAUAGAUUUGUAGAAAUACUUCCCACUUGGUUACUUGCUUAUGUUAUGAGUUUUUACCUACAGAAACUUGCUUUUUUUCUUGUAAAAUUUAGAUUAAUUUCUUUGGUAUGUUUUCCUACUGCUUUAAAACUUCAGAAUUCCUUUUUUCAUAGAACUUUUCUAUUUUCACUUAGAAACAUUCAGAACUUAUGUUAGUGUGUGAUUUGAGGUGGUUUUUGUGUUGACUUUGUUUCCUACCUUGUUAGCUAUUUUUUCUAUGCCAUUGUGGAAUAAUUUGUUAAUUUUCAGUGGAUUCAUAAUGCCUUUAAAAAAUAAGGUUGUGUUCUCAGAGGUGAUAAAUUUUAUUUAUUUAUGAUGCUCCAUCUAUGUUAAGGCUAUUUGUAAGUCUAUGUGUAUGGUAGGAUUUUAGUUCUACACUGCAUCUUACACAGGUUAGUAAAAUAUAGCACAUUUAUUAAUUAUUUAGAGUAUAGGAUUACGUAUUGAUAAGUACAAGCUAUUGAGCCUUCCCAUGUCCUAGGCACUUUGCUGAAUUUUAAUCCUUAUCACAACUCAAUGGGAUAGAUACUGUUGUCAUCUUUUGUAGACAUGGGUUUAUUAUAGCUAUUUUAAAAUGAGUUAGCAAAUUCAAAUUUCAAAAAUUCUAUUUUUAUUUCUAAUAUGGUAAAUAUUGAUAAAUAAAAUUUAUAUAAACAAAUAUUUUGAUGUACUCAGUAACCCAUAAGGGUAUAUAAGAGCCCUGAAAUGAAAAAGUUUGAGAACUGCUUAUAAGCCCUAUAUAAUUAUUAGGUAUUAAUAUCAUUAUUAAUUUUUGAAUCUAUAUUCAAAUAUAGUUAUCAUAAAAUGAACUUCAUAUAUGUAAGUGUAUACUUUGAUGUGUUUUGACAUAUGUAUAUUAUAAUGAAGCCAUCAUCAUAAUUAAGAUAAUAAACAUAUCCAUCACUCUCAGAG